GGACACCAACUAUUUCACCAUCUUUCAUUCUCACUUCGUCAAAUAAUCAAAAAGUUCACAACCUAGCAAAUGACGCAAUACCAAAAAUAAAUGACUUCAUAGCAAAUGGAACCAAAUCAAGUUUGAAAAGUAAAAACAAGAAAUAGGCAUACAGUCGUGAACAAAUAACAAAACUUAUUUAUGCGUAGACUCAGCCUCAUCUUUGGAAUGACCAGCUCUUGGACUUGGCAAAAAGCUCAAUCUUAGAUUUUGUUGAAGGCAACAAUAUCA
RNAcentral lists this unclassified non-coding RNA (270 nucleotides) under Hevea brasiliensis (rubber tree). Lineage: Eukaryota; Viridiplantae; Streptophyta; Magnoliopsida; Malpighiales; Euphorbiaceae. The record is from RNAcentral.